Molecule: ribosomal RNA, 484 nt
Filed under: uncultured bacterium
Lineage: Bacteria
Description: partial 16S ribosomal RNA
Rfam family: Bacterial small subunit ribosomal RNA
Source: RNAcentral
AAUGAACGUUGGCGGCGUGGAUUAGGCAUGCAAGUCGUGCGGAAAGGCCCCGCAAGGGGUACUCGAGCGGCGUAAGGGAUAGUAAUGCGUGGAUACCUGCCCUGGGGACGGGGAUAGCUGCUGGAAACGGCAAUUAAUACCCGAUGACGUCUCCGGACCAAAGGUGCAAUUCCGCCCUGGGAGGGGUCCGCGUCCUAUUAGCUAGUUGGUGAGGUAACGGCUCACCAAGGCCACGAUGGGUAGCGGGUGUGAGAGCACGACCCGCAUCACUGGGAAUGAGACACUGCCCAGACACCUACGGGUGGCUGCAGUCGAGGAUCUUCGGCAAUGGGCGAAAGCCUGACCGAGCGACGCCGCGUGCGGGAUGAAGGCCUUCGGGUUGUAAACCGCUUUCGGAGGGGAGGAAGUGCAAGGGGGAUCACCCCUUCGUUUGACCUAUCCUCAGAAGAAGGACGGGCUAAGUUCGUGCCAGCAGCCGCGGUAA